Molecule: unclassified non-coding RNA, 339 nt
Filed under: Cyclocybe salicaceicola
Lineage: Eukaryota; Fungi; Basidiomycota; Agaricomycetes; Agaricales; Hemipholiotaceae
Description: partial internal transcribed spacer region
Rfam family: Eukaryotic small subunit ribosomal RNA (bases 1-46)
Source: RNAcentral
AAGUCGUAACAAGGUUUCCGUAGGUGAACCUGCGGAAGGAUCAUUAACGAAUAAAUCUCGGUGGGCUUUUUGAUGCUGGCCUUCACAAAAGGCAUGUGCACGGCCUGUCGUCCUUUAUUUCUUUUUCCACCUGUGCACCCUUUGUAGGCUUGAACAGCUUUUUCUUUGGCCUUCGGGUCAGUGUGUUGGGGACUGCGCCAGAGAGACGGGGCUGUCCUCUACCGUUCGAGUCUAUGUUUUUUUACACUAUACACUGUUGUUAAACCUAGAAUGUUAAAGGCCUCUACGUGUGCCUAUCUAAACACUAUACAACUUUCAGCAACGGAUCUCUUGGCUCUC